Molecule: unclassified non-coding RNA, 405 nt
Filed under: soil metagenome
Description: partial contains 5.8S ribosomal RNA, internal transcribed spacer 2, and large subunit ribosomal RNA
Rfam family: 5.8S ribosomal RNA (bases 1-121)
Source: RNAcentral
GAUGAAGAACGUAGCGAAAUGCGAUAAGUAAUGUGAAUUGCAGAAUUCAGUGAAUCAUCGAAUCUUUGAACGCACCUUGCGCCCUUUGGCCAUUCCGAAGGGCAUGCCUGUUUGAGUAUCAUGAACACCUCAACUCUUUAUGGUUUUCCAUGAUGAGCUUGGACUCUGGGGGUUUUGCUGGCUCACAGUCGGCUCCUCUAAAAUGAAUCAGCUUACCAGUGUUUGGUGGGUAUCAUGGGUGUGAUAACUAUCUACGCUUGUGGUUUUUCCACCAGGUAACCUUCAGCAGUGGAGGUUCGCUGGAGCUCAUAGAUGUCUCUCCUCAGUGAGGACAGCCCUUUGAAUGUUUGAUCUCAAAUCAGGUAGGACUACCCGCUGAACUUAAGCAUAUCAAUAAGCGGAGGA